AAGGAUCCCCUCAGUAAGGGCGACUGAAGCGGGGACAGUGCAAGUUGUCAAUCUCUUUACUGAGAAUUGUAGUCUAUCGAAACAGCGUCCCGGUCUUGACAGCAGGUAUAAGUCCGUUGGAACACGGCAUCCAAGAGGGUGAGAAUCCCGUUCGUGAUCUGCUUUCGUCUUGAUCGGUUUUGAUGCGUUCUCUACGAGUCGGGUUGCUUGGGAUUGCAGCUCUAAGCGGGUGGUAAACUCCAUCUAACACUAAAUAUCGGCGGUUGACCGAUAGCGAACAAGUACUGUG
This 289-nucleotide ribosomal RNA is filed under the name uncultured Stichotrichia. Its description in RNAcentral is "partial Eukaryotic large subunit ribosomal RNA". It matches the Rfam family "Eukaryotic large subunit ribosomal RNA", at positions 70 to 355 of the family's 3401-position model. Lineage: Eukaryota; Ciliophora; Spirotrichea. The record is from RNAcentral.